GCAAAAGGGAUAAAACUGGCAAUUCGCAAGAAAAUCCAAACGGCUGGCCGACCUGCGAAGGAAACAUCACGACCUGUUUGCAUAAAGAAAUGCAAACCUGAAACACCGGGCACGUGCGGUUUAGGGGAGCGGGCAGUCUCACACACUACUGAGUUGUUUCCCAGCAGCCGUCAAUACAGACCUUCCACUGCGUAAGCCCACUGCAUUGCCAUUUAAUAAAACAGCAAGAAAAUGAGAGAGAAAAAUAAUGAGGUAGAAUUGUAUGGGAUUAUUAAGGAUUGAAUUCUCAGUAGAUUUAGUGAAAUAUACAAGUUACUGAAGUUUGUAGAAACGAACUGGUAAGUGUUUUCUCAUUUAUUUGUUUUUUAAGGAUAAACCCAAAUAUAGGUAAAACUGUUGGAAAGGUAGGCAAGAAAUUGUUGAUGAGUUACUUCUAGGGACAAGGAAUGUGGGGUGGAAGAGGGAUUUUUCCCUUCUGCCAUCCAUACUGUGAAUUUCCUUGGCAGAAAUACGUAUUUCUUCUCUGGCAGUAAAAUCAAUGAAUUACUAAAAGUUCACUAAUGUACUCUUUGGUCCAACUAUUCCACUCUCAAGGAACUAAAAAAGCAAAGGAAAUACAGGGAUAUACAGAAGAUUCUAUACAGGGAUAUUCACGGAGCAUCAUUUUUAUCACCAAAAAUGUGCUCCACAGAAAAGAAUUAAACUGUAUUCUGGUAAAUUUACACAGCGCGAUUUUAACUGACUAAUAAAAAUGCUGUAUGAUUUUAACUUUAAAGGAAAAAAUCUGUAAGAUGUGGUUAAUUACCAAAAGGUGUUUACCUAAGGAGCACACAGACUUUAAUACCCCAAAUUAAACUUUAUAUUAUACUCAAGGAGUUAUCAGUGGUUGCUUGCUACACUGAGAAGCUGCUUUAUGUGUUUUAGACUCCCUAGACCAUCAACAGUCUCUUUUUGCCCAGCAGUGCCACAUAAACAUAAUAUACGAAUGAAAACACUGUGCUUCUUAUGAAAAUACACGUUCAAAACAAAUUCCCCAGCAGGAAUAUUGAA
This 1050-nucleotide long non-coding RNA is filed under the name Homo sapiens (human). RNAcentral's name for it is "MER1 repeat containing imprinted transcript 1". The record is from RNAcentral. Lineage: Eukaryota; Metazoa; Chordata; Mammalia; Primates; Hominidae.